UAGACUUCAGAGAAAUCAGAUUAUGCUGGUGAGAAUUACAUGCUUAUGUCACUCUCUGCCUGGUGCUUCCUUUUAACUUGUUAUUUAAUCUUCAAAUCUCUUAAAGGGGGAAAAAGAUCUGGUACUGAUAAUUUUGCUCAAAUAGAAAAGGAGAAGAAUGGUUAAAGCCAGGCCACACUGCUAUCUUUAUUUAGACGUCAACAAACAGUCACACAAAAUGACAAGUUGUUCUUGAAACUCAGCCAAAUCUUCAAGAAGCAUGCAUAAGCAGGCUUUGAAGAUAAGGAGAGGAGGAAAGGGAAUACAGAUCUCCACGACUAUAUGCACCAGUAUUUGAACUGGGACACAACAACAUUUCUGUUACCAGUAGGUCAUGAGCUAACUGCUUACAAGAACUGCAACAAAAAUGAAUUUCCCUGCCUAGCAGAAACAGAAGACAUCAGACUUUUUAAUGUACUACCCAAGGGGGAAAUCUCCAUGCCACAAAACACAUCAUAUGUCUCCACGUAACUGGAGCAGAGAUUUACUUUUUCACUGUUCACUCUUUCACGAAGAUGGAAUGCUUGAGCAAGCCUGAAGCAUGUCACAGCUGAAGGCUGACAUGCAAAACAGCAGUUGUGAGAAAAGAUCCUGGACCAAUCUGGAAACUGAGCAGUGAAACCUUGCUCUUUGUCAGAAAAUUUAGCAGAACAGGCAGUUGUCACUAUACAACACUCAAGGAGCUAGAGCCUCCCUAAAAGUAGAGUGGAGUGCCCCCCAAGAUGAAAAGAGACAACAGAAGAUGUUGGUUUCUAAGCAAAACCUUCUACCUCUAUCUGCAGUAUGUAUCCCCUGGAGGCUGGGGAUUGAUUUGGGUCAAUUCAAUUUAUCUCUGGCUUUUCUGCUUCUUCUGGAUUUAAAAUAAAAAAAAAAAAAAGAGGAAUAAAUAUUACUUU
This 935-nucleotide long non-coding RNA is filed under the name Anser brachyrhynchus (Pink-footed goose). RNAcentral describes it as "lncRNA (ENSABRG00000003675.1)". Lineage: Eukaryota; Metazoa; Chordata; Aves; Anseriformes; Anatidae. The record is from RNAcentral.